UGCACGCUCUGACUUCCAAAUAUUUGUGGCCCCCUCCCUUCUUUUACAGCUGCACUGCGCUGCAACUUGCCACUGCAGGCUUUUGUGGUCUUUCCCCGAAACCAAGACCUGCCUCUGUCCUCAUCCCCCUCCAAUCCGUCUUCCGCUGCCAAGAGAAAACACAGAUCUGGCCCAUCAAUCCCCUGUUUAAGGAUCUCUGUCUCCACAGCACUUACAAGAUCAAGUCAAAAGGCAUCUGUGCGGUGCCAGAAGCCUGAACCACCGUGUCUCUGACUGUUUCACCUCUCCAGCCCUGCUCUGCCACUGCCAACAAAACCAGAGUGAGCAAUUGAUAAAGCAGCCGCUAAUAAAUAAUUAAGCAGUUUUUAUUGUAAUCAACUCAUGACAUGCCUCAGGGAGGAGGAUUUCCAUUCAUCCUUAAGAAAGUUUAAAAAAUGCAGAAAUGAAUGAAGAAGCAAAUUGCCAGCGAUAACUACUAACAUGGGCAACCACUAUUAAACUUUGGAAUAAUGUCCUUCAACACAAAGACAAAAUUGCUUCACCAUCGGGUGGCAACCUCAACAUAUACACAUCCUGGUGUUUUCAAUGGACAGGUUUCCCGCAGAAGGAAAAACCACCUAACAUGUCUGACAAGCGAACUCCAGCAGCUGCUGCUGCCCUGCACUUGUGAUUAAAGCGAGAAAAAGAGAAACCUGCAGGAAUAAUCACAGUGAGAACAUUACACAACAUGGAACAAAAUUACCUUGGUCUAAUGUGGGCUGGUGAAAAUAAAAGCUAUGUGUUAAAGUACUCUGCA
RNAcentral lists this long non-coding RNA (796 nucleotides) under Oryctolagus cuniculus (rabbit). RNAcentral describes it as "lncRNA (ENSOCUG00000035762.1)". The record is from RNAcentral. Lineage: Eukaryota; Metazoa; Chordata; Mammalia; Lagomorpha; Leporidae.